RNAcentral lists this transfer RNA (72 nucleotides) under Stegodyphus mimosarum. It matches the Rfam family "tRNA". From Rfam's summary of the family: Transfer RNA (tRNA) molecules are approximately 80 nucleotides in length. Their secondary structure includes four short double-helical elements and three loops (D, anti-codon, and T loops). The record is from Rfam by way of RNAcentral. Lineage: Eukaryota; Metazoa; Arthropoda; Arachnida; Araneae; Eresidae.
GCCUUCGUGGUGUAAUGGUCAGCACACUUGGCCGGCAUUCAGAGGUCCAUGGUUUGAGUCCUGGUGAGGGCA